UUUAAUUUUUGACGAUGGGGUUGGUGAGGCGAACUAAAGGUCCGAGAAAAAAAGCAAAGGAGAUUUGAAGGGGUGCAAAGCUUUUGGGCAGACGAAGAUGACUUGAUGUAUUUUUAGUUUAUUUACCUCCUUGGAUGGAUGAUGGACUUAUAUAACAUUUGAUUGUUGAACUUUAUAAUAUUUUCUAGAAGCUUGAACAAGAUAGAUCUUGUAAAAUUUGUUGAGAUCUUUAUAUUUGUUGAAUUAUGAGUUGAUCGAGUUCAAUUAUUACUCUUGUAUGUGAAAUUAAGAUGUGUUGAAUGUAUAUAAAUGUUAUUUGAA
Long non-coding RNA from Zingiber officinale, 321 nucleotides. RefSeq lists it as uncharacterized. The transcript has 3 exons. The record is from RefSeq and is a predicted model, not a curated record. Lineage: Eukaryota; Viridiplantae; Streptophyta; Magnoliopsida; Zingiberales; Zingiberaceae.